GUGCCAGCAGCCGCGGUAAUACGGCCUGUGCAAGCGUUAAUCGGAAUUACUGGGCGUAAAGCGCACGCAGGCGGUCUGUCAAGUCGGAUGUGAAAUCCCCGGGCUCAACCUGGGAACUGCAUUCGAAACUGGCAGGCUAGAGUCUUGUAGAGGGGGGUAGAAUUCCAGGUGUAGCGGUGAAAUGCGUAGAGAUCUGGAGGAAUACCGGUGGCGAAGGCGGCCCCCUGGACAAAGACUGACGCUCAGGUGCGAAAGCGUGGGGAGCAAACAGGAUUAGAUACCCUGGUAGUCCACGCCGUAAACGAUGUCGACUUGGAGGUUGUGCCCUUGAGGCGUGGCUUCCGGAGCUAACGCGUUAAGUCGACCGCCUGGGGAGUACGGCCGCAAGGUUAAAACUCAAAUGAAUUGACGGGGGCCCGCACAAGCGGUGGAGCAUGUGGUUUAAUUCGAUGCAACGCGAAGAACCUUACCUACUCUUGACAUCCAGAGAACUUUCCAGAGAUGGAUUGGUGCCUUCGGGAACUCUGAGACAGGUGCUGCAUGGCUGUCGUCAGCUCGUGUUGUGAAAUGUUGGGUUAAGUCCCGCAACGAGCGCAACCCUUAUCCUUUGUUGCCAGCGGUCCGGCCGGGAACUCAAAGGAGACUGCCAGUGAUAAACUGGAGGAAGGUGGGGAUGACGU
Molecule: ribosomal RNA, 680 nt
Filed under: uncultured bacterium
Lineage: Bacteria
Description: bacterial SSU rRNA
Rfam family: Bacterial small subunit ribosomal RNA
Source: RNAcentral